CCCAUAUAGGGGGCAUUGAAGCAAUGAGACAAGUAUUGAGUGAGUCCUCCAUUUAUCAAGGACCACCUAUUGAGUUUGUGUUGGAGUUGCUGUCUCUUAUACUUCAUAACAACUAUUUUCGGUUUGAAAACCUAUGGUAUUUGCAGGUGGCCGGUACAUCAAUGGGGUCGGCGAUGGCUCCUAUGUACGCCAAUGCGUACAUGCAUGUAUAUGAAUCUACACACAUUUUAAUCCCUUAUCAGGAUCGAAUCAUC
Molecule: non-coding RNA, 254 nt
Organism: Pelobates cultripes (western spadefoot toad)
Lineage: Eukaryota; Metazoa; Chordata; Amphibia; Anura; Pelobatidae
Source: the annotation of a GenBank genome assembly